CGUCUUUCGAGGACUGGAAGAGAGUGUUUUGAGAGUUGAGUGUGAGAACUUUGAUAAAUGGAGGAUCACACGUAUUAUUCAGCACAAGAAAGAGCGAGGAAGGGCGAACCUUCCCCUUCAAAGAAGCGAAAACGCGAAGAAGCCAAACGACUUCGAGACAGACGAAGACAGAAAACACGAGUAAACAUCGGCGUGGCCUUUCAUCGGUGGAAAUCACUAAUGAGGGACAAACAUUUCAACAGUGACGCCGGAGUCGCCUGCUUUCUGCUUCACAGCUAUGAGCGAGGUCCCGCAACAUCGACCCCUAUGAAGGGAAAAACCCCUCAAGGCGCAGCUCCAGCAUUGUCCAGCAUAGGUACUUCAAGUGGGACAGACAGGCAAGUAAUUUCAGUGAAUUAACUGUGCCGUCCUAAUAUGUUUGAUUAUAAGUAAAGUAGCUUAUUUAUAAGUUUUUCUUUCUAAAUUCAUGUUUCCUCUCCGUAUGUGUGAUAUAUGGAUCAUCAUCACAGUCUUGACAUGUGGCAUGGUGCCAAAAACCUGGCCAAAAAAAUUGCUGCAGUAAGUUUAAUAAGUGGAUCAUGUUAUUACCUACGUAUCUGUCUUAAAAUUGAUUUGCCUUACAUCGGAGUAUUCAGCAAUGUGACAUUGAUGGCAGAGAUUAUGCACACUUUCAUUUUAAUCAAAGACAGCAAAAGUUGAUUUCUGGCUGAAGGUGUGUUAAUACCCAUGUCUAAUACUAUGUUUGGUUUGUUUGUUUGUUUGUCUCAUCAAGGCAGCAAAGAUAAAAGGACAGUCCCUUCUCCUCAACUGGCUAAAAGACAUCAUAAACCAUUUUUGGUGGUGCUGUAAGACAGCUGACACAACCGAGGAGUUUCUUGUAGGCACACAAUUUAUAUAUUUUUUUCUCUCAAUCAGUUAAUUCAAUGCCAUAUAAAUGCUUGAUUUAUAGUGCUCUUGGUUUUCGCAGACACUGUGGACUGGUAUCCUUCAUCAUGUUUGUAAC
RNAcentral lists this long non-coding RNA (1003 nucleotides) under Myripristis murdjan (pinecone soldierfish). RNAcentral describes it as "lncRNA (ENSMMDG00005014027.1)". The record is from RNAcentral. Lineage: Eukaryota; Metazoa; Chordata; Actinopteri; Holocentriformes; Holocentridae.